RNAcentral lists this ribosomal RNA (924 nucleotides) under Triticum aestivum (bread wheat). RNAcentral's name for it is "partial small subunit ribosomal RNA". The record is from RNAcentral. Lineage: Eukaryota; Viridiplantae; Streptophyta; Magnoliopsida; Poales; Poaceae.
AUGGACACCAUGGGACGGGGCGACAAGUUAAAGAAGUACGGAUCAAGAGAUGUUGAAGGCUCAAUGAGCGGCAGCGGGAAUGGCAAAGGUGGCUCAACUCCUCCACCACCUUCAAGCAAUUCAGGAAACCAUUCCAAGGGCGUGGAGUACACACGCCGGUCACCGUCAUUGCCUAGCGCCCCGCCGCUUGUACUAAAGUCGCAUAGCACAGCGCCAUGGACUAAGCGUAGCUACCCGAACCGCAACUCAAAGAAUUCUGACGAGACAUCCAUCUCUCUUGAUGAUGACGCUCCACCACUAGGGAACCUCAAGGACAAACUUGACGACGUGUUGCCGUUCAUGCCUAUGAGCCACGGUAUGGAGCAACUCUUAGACGAGGUGAUGGAAAACAUGGACCAAGAUGAGUCAGCCUCAAAAUCCGCACCUCCGGACAAGUCUAGUUCGGUGGCGAAGCACACGCCCCAGGCGGCGAGUGAUCCAGCUGCGAAUUCUUCAAGUGUGGCAGGGAGCGAUCUCGUCGUAAAACCCGCCUCCCUGGUGACAAAGCCCGCUUAUUUAACCACAUCAACAAGCACCCCCGAAGUCGACAAAAAGCGUUCAUCGGGUGCUAUCAGUGACAAGGAUGUUGGGAUAACUGCAAAGAAACCAAGGCCGUCUGCUUGCGAUGUUUCUAGCAAAUCAACUAAUCUAGAAGGCUUUUAUUCCCCUGAGGCAAAGGAGCUCCGUGUAUUAAUUGAGCAACACCAAAAUAUCCUUGCUAGAGAAAACACUCUGCUCGAGAAGCUCAAAGUCCCUCCGACUAAUAACAUCUCAAUGCCAAGCCUUGUUCUCCCACCCGGAAUAGCAGCAAAGUACAUCUCAAUAGGACUCAAGGAUAGACAAGAGGCGCUAAGGGGGCAGCCGAUCAAUGAGCUAACCAACUAA